This 161-nucleotide ribosomal RNA is filed under the name uncultured bacterium. RNAcentral describes it as "partial 16S ribosomal RNA". The record is from RNAcentral.
UACUGGAGCUUGCGGCUAAGGCUGCGGUCGGUUGAUUCGACGUUGACUGAGACUCCCGGCUUUAGGGCAAACGAAGUCCUAAUCUAAGGGAUCAUCAGGUGCUGCCCCCGGGGAUAACGAGCCAUAACAGAAAACAGUCACGGGUUCGCUUUCACUAUUCA